RNAcentral lists this ribosomal RNA (574 nucleotides) under Cantharellopsis prescotii. RNAcentral describes it as "SSU rRNA". It matches the Rfam family "Eukaryotic small subunit ribosomal RNA", at positions 535 to 1114 of the family's 1831-position model. The record is from RNAcentral. Lineage: Eukaryota; Fungi; Basidiomycota; Agaricomycetes; Hymenochaetales; Rickenellaceae.
UAACGAGGAACAAUUGGAGGGCAAGUCUGGUGCCAGCAGCCGCGGUAAUUCCAGCUCCAAUAGCGUAUAUUAAAGUUGUUGCAGUUAAAAAGCUCGUAGUUGAACUUCAGACCUGGCCGGGCGGUCUGCCUAACGGUAUGUACUGUCUGGCCGGGCCUUACCUCUUGGUGAGCCGGCAUGCCCUUUACUGGGUGUGUCGGGGAACCAGGACUUUUACCUUGAGAAAAUUAGAGUGUUCAAAGCAGGCCUAUGCCCGAAUACAUUAGCAUGGAAUAAUAAAAUAGGACGUGCGGUUCUAUUUUGUUGGUUUCUAGAGUCGCCGUAAUGAUUAAUAGGGAUAGUUGGGGGCAUUAGUAUUCAGUUGCUAGAGGUGAAAUUCUUGGAUUUACUGAAGACUAACUUCUGCGAAAGCAUUUGCCAAGGAUGUUUUCAUUAAUCAAGAACGAAGGUUAGGGGAUCGAAAACGAUCAGAUACCGUUGUAGUCUUAACAGUAAACUAUGCCGACUAGGGAUCGGGCGAUCUCAAUUUUAUGUGUCGCUCGGCACCUUACGAGAAAUCAAAGUCUUUGGGUUC